This 1470-nucleotide ribosomal RNA is filed under the name uncultured Bordetella sp. RNAcentral describes it as "partial 16S-23S ribosomal RNA intergenic spacer". It matches the Rfam family "Bacterial small subunit ribosomal RNA". The record is from RNAcentral. Lineage: Bacteria; Pseudomonadati; Pseudomonadota; Betaproteobacteria; Burkholderiales; Alcaligenaceae.
AGUUCGAUUCUGGCUCAGAUUGAACGCUGGCGGGAUGCUUUACACAUGCAAGUCGAACGGGCAGCACGGACUGGUCUGGUGGCGAGUGGCGAACGGGUGAGUAAUGUAUCGGAACGUGCCUAGUAAAGGGGGAUAACGACAAGAAAGCGUAGCUAAUACCGCAUACGCCCUUCGGGGAAAGCGGGGGGACCUUCACUGCACUAUUAGAGCGGCCGAUAUCGGAUUAGCUAGUUGGUGGGGUAACGGCUCACCAAGGCGACGAUCCGUAGCUGGUUUGAGAGGACGACCAGCCACACUGGGACUGAGACACGGCCCAGACUCCUACGGAGGCAGCAAGAGAAUGGACGAUCCCCUGAUCCAGCCAUCCCGCGUGUGCGAUGAAGGCUCGGGUUGUAAAGACCUCUUGCAGGAGAAACGGCGGGCCGGGAUAGCACCCUGCAACUGACGGUACCUGCAAUGGCACCGCUAACCACGCGCCAGCAGCCGCAGUAUUGCUGUAGGGUGCAAGCGUUAAUCGAAUUACUGGGCGUAAAGCGUGCAGGCGGUUCGAAAGCAAAGAUGUGAAAUCCCAGAGCUUAAUCUUUGGAACUGUAUUUUAACCUUACUGAGCUAGAGCUGUGUCAGAGGGAGGUGGAAUUCGCGUGUAGCAGUGAAAUGCGCAGAUAUGCGGAGGAACACCGGAUGGCGAAGGCAGCCUCCUGGGAUAACACUGACGCUCAUGCACGAAAGCGUGGGGAGCAAACAGGAUUAGAUACUCCGGUAGUCCACGCCCAACGAGUGUCAACUGCUGUUGGGGCCUUCGGGCCUUGUAGCGCAGCUAACGCGUGAAGUUGACCGCCUGGGGAGUACGGUCGCAAGAUGAACCCAAAGAAUGAUUGGGACCCCGCACAAGCGGUGGAUGAUGUGAUUAACUAUGCAACGCGAAAACCUUACUCAAUUCUUGAUGUCUGGAAUCCCGAAGAGAUUUGGGAGUGCUCGCAAGAGAACCGGAACACAGGUGCUGCAUGGCUGUCGUCAGCUCGUGUCGUAGAUGUUGGGUUAAGUCCCGCAACGAGCGGCACCCAAUAGUUAAUGCUGAAAGGCAAUUUUGACGAGAUUCGCUAGUACGUAAACCGAGAAGCGGGAUGACGUCAAGUCCCCUUGUAUGGCCUCUUAUGGGUAGGGCUUCUCACACGUCAUACAAUGGUCGGGACAGAGGGUCGCCAACCUCGCGAGGGGAGCCAAUCCCAGAAACCUGAUCGGGGUCCGAUCGCAGUCUGCAACUCGACUGCGUGAAGUUUAAAUCGCUAGUAAUCGCGGAUCGCAUGUCGCAGAAUACGUUCCCGGGUCUUGUACACCCCGCCCGGGCUCAUUCAUGGGAGGUUUUACCAGAAGUAGUUAGCCUAACCGUAAGGAGGGCGAUUACCACGGUAGGGAUUCAUGACUGGGGUAGUCGUAACAAGGUAGCCUUGAGCGAUACCCGAUGCUCCA